UAGCGGAGAUCAGAUGGAGGAGACCAAGAAGAGCAUUUGCUGAAAGAAAAGAAUGAUAGAGGAAAUAAUUGAACAAUAAUGCCCAAUUUUCUGUAAAGCUAAUAAUGAAUACAACAUUUUUUCUGAGAGCUUUAUUGUCACAUGAAUAACAAUAAAACGACUGACAUGUCUGGCAGCCGUUAAAGAGCUGCCUAUUAUAAACGUUUAUACAAAUUGAAUUUCUAUUCGAUACUAUUUGAUCACCAUCGUGACGCAAGAUAUAUAAGAAAAAUGUUAGAAAU
Molecule: long non-coding RNA, 281 nt
Filed under: Acromyrmex echinatior (Panamanian leafcutter ant)
Lineage: Eukaryota; Metazoa; Arthropoda; Insecta; Hymenoptera; Formicidae
Description: uncharacterized LOC105151736, transcript variant X1
Source: RNAcentral